CCUUGUUCGGGAACUAUAUGUGCUAGCCUCAGCAGGAUUGUUAUCAGAGGCCCAGGCUACCUCUGCUGCACAUCGGGCUGCAGGCAAGGAGCAGAAGGGGAAAUGGGCAGUCCCGCAGGCAGACAAACAGUUCCUCAGUCUGCAUCCUGAGCAAGAUUUGAAACAAUGGCUCUGGCAGACAGACAAAAGAAGGGAGCUUGGCGCUGUUCCCAUAAAUGCUACUGCGUCCUUUCCUCAGUGAAGCUGCUGCUCUGCACUGGAAUCUCACACUCAGCUUAAGAAAGUCAAGUGAUACAGAUUUGAGCCAUCAAUCAUACUGUGGAAGCUAACUC
RNAcentral lists this long non-coding RNA (332 nucleotides) under Mus spicilegus (steppe mouse). RNAcentral's name for it is "lncRNA (ENSMSIG00000002256.1)". The record is from RNAcentral. Lineage: Eukaryota; Metazoa; Chordata; Mammalia; Rodentia; Muridae.